This 1127-nucleotide ribosomal RNA is filed under the name Mucilaginibacter myungsuensis. RNAcentral describes it as "Mucilaginibacter sp. HMD1056 Bacterial small subunit ribosomal RNA". It matches the Rfam family "Bacterial small subunit ribosomal RNA", at positions 1 to 1130 of the family's 1533-position model. Lineage: Bacteria; Pseudomonadati; Bacteroidota; Sphingobacteriia; Sphingobacteriales; Sphingobacteriaceae. The record is from Rfam by way of RNAcentral.
ACAAUGGAGAGUUUGAUCCUGGCUCAGGAUGAACGCUAGCGGCAGGCCUAAUACAUGCAAGUCGGACGGGAUUUUGGAGCUUGCUCCAGAUGAGAGUGGCGCACGGGUGCGUAACACGUAUGUAACCUACCUUGUUCAGGGGGAUAGCCUCUCGAAAGAGAGAUUAAGACCGCAUAACGUAAUUGAAUGGCAUCAUUUAAUUACCAAAUAUUUAUAGGAACAAGAUGGGCAUGCGGAACAUUAGCUAGUUGGUAAGGUAACGGCUUACCAAGGCUACGAUGUUUAGGGGAUCUGAGAGGAUUACCCCCCACACUGGUACUGAGACACGGACCAGACUCCUACGGGAGGCAGCAGUAAGGAAUAUUGGUCAAUGGACGGAAGUCUGAACCAGCCAUGCCGCGUGCAGGAAGACGGCCCUACGGGUUGUAAACUGCUUUUAUACGGGAAUAAACCUAUCUACGUGUAGAUAGCUGAAUGUACUGUAAGAAUAAGGAUCGGCUAACUCCGUGCCAGCAGCCGCGGUAAUACGGAGGAUCCAAGCGUUAUCCGGAUUUAUUGGGUUUAAAGGGUGCGUAGGUGGCCUGUUAAGUCAGGGGUGAAAGACGGUAGCUCAACUAUCGCAGUGCCCUUGAUACUGAUGGGCUUGAAUGGACUAGAGGUAGGCGGAAUGUGACAAGUAGCGGUGAAAUGCAUAGAUAUGUCACAGAACACCGAUUGCGAAGGCAGCUUACUAUGGUCCGAUUGACACUGAGGCACGAAAGCGUGGGGAUCAAACAGGAUUAGAUACCCUGGUAGUCCACGCCCUAAACGAUGAAUACUCGAUGUUGGCGAUAUACGGUCAGCGUCUAAGCGAAAGCGUUAAGUAUUCCACCUGGGGAGUACGCCCGCAAGGGUGAAACUCAAAGGAAUUGACGGGGGCCCGCACAAGCGGAGGAGCAUGUGGUUUAAUUCGAUGAUACGCGAGGAACCUUACCCGGGCUUGAAAGUUAGUGAAUGUAGCAGAGACGCUACAGUCCUUCGGGACACGAAACUAGGUGCUGCAUGGCUGUCGUCAGCUCGUGCCGUGAGGUGUUGGGUUAAGUCCCGCAACGAGCGCAACCCCUAUGUUUAGUUGCCAGCAUGUAAUG